AUGUACGAGGAUGUGGUUAAGUGGCGGUUCACGGGUUUUUAUGGUCACCCGAAAUGGAAUGAACGCCAUCUUUCUUGGGACGAUAUUUGCAAUCUAUAUAGUACAGGUAACCACCCCUGGGUAGUUUUGGGGGAUUUUAAUGAAAUUUUAUACCCAUCGGAAAAAGAGUGUGGUAUGGCUAGACCACUUGGUAUGAUGAGAGAAUUUCGUGAAUGUCUAAUGGAUUGCGGGCUAGAGGACCUAGGUUAUACGUGUGACCUUUUCACUUGGAGUAGAGGCGAAAUACGUGAACGUCUUGAUCGAGCGGUCUGUAAUAUAGCAUGGGCAAACAAAUUCCCGCGAGCGGCAGUGAUCAACGAAGAACAUGUUCAUUCUGAUCAUCGCCCGAUCGUACUGGAUACAGAUUACUUAGAUGAAAAAAUCUUUAAACAAUCAGAGGGGCGUGUUAAACAGUUUGAGGCAAGGUGGUUCAAGGAAGAGACGGUCACUGAAAUUGUUAAGGCAUCAUGGGAGAAAGCAAAACUUGCAGGUAUUGGACCCUCACUUGCUGAUCGUACAAGAGUAGUGCAUGCCGAUCUGCAUAAUUGGGACCGGGAAACUCUGAAGGGACCAAAGGUGAGAAUUAUGAAAUUAAAAAAAGAAUUUGAGAGAAUAAGGUGUGGCCCAAUGAAUGCGGAGUCUCAAUGUCGCUAG
This 693-nucleotide ribosomal RNA is filed under the name Triticum aestivum (bread wheat). RNAcentral describes it as "partial small subunit ribosomal RNA". The record is from RNAcentral. Lineage: Eukaryota; Viridiplantae; Streptophyta; Magnoliopsida; Poales; Poaceae.